UACGUAGGGCGCAAGCGUUGUCCGGAAUUAUUGGGCGUAAAGAGCUCGUAGGCGGUUUGUCGCGUCUGGUGUGAAAACUCAAGGCUCAAUCUUGAGCUUGCGCCGGGUACGGGCAGACUAGAGUGCGGUAGGGGUGACUGGAAUUCCUGGUGUAGCGGUGGAAUGCGCAGAUAUCAGGAGGAACACCGAUGGCGAAGGCAGGUCACUGGGCCGCAACUGACGCUGAGGAGCGAAAGCAUGGGGAGCGAACAGGAUUAGAUACCCUGGUAGUCCAUGCCGUAAACGUUGGGCACUAGGUGUGGGGCUCAUUCCACGAGUUCCGUGCCGCAGCAAACGCAUUAAGUGCCCCGCCUGGGGAGUACGGCCGCAAGGCUAAA
This 377-nucleotide ribosomal RNA is filed under the name uncultured bacterium. RNAcentral describes it as "bacterial SSU rRNA". It matches the Rfam family "Bacterial small subunit ribosomal RNA", at positions 524 to 898 of the family's 1533-position model. The record is from RNAcentral.